UGCGCAGGCGGGCUUGUAAGUCAGUGGUGAAAUACUGCCGCUUAACGGUAGAACUGCCAUUGAUACUGCGAGUCUUGAAUAUGGUUGAGGUAGGCGGAAUGUGUUGUCUAGCGGUGAAAUGCAUAGAUAUGACACAGAACGCCGAUUGCGAAGGCAGCUUACUAAGCCAUUAUUGACGCUGAGGCACGAAAGCGUGGGGAGCGAACAGGAUUAGAUACCCUGGUAGUCC
This 229-nucleotide ribosomal RNA is filed under the name uncultured bacterium. RNAcentral's name for it is "partial 16S ribosomal RNA". It matches the Rfam family "Bacterial small subunit ribosomal RNA", at positions 568 to 796 of the family's 1533-position model. The record is from RNAcentral.